GACGAACGCUGGCGGCGUGCUUAACACAUGCAAGUCGAACGGUGAAGCGCCUUCCUUUUUGGUGGGUGUGGAUGAGUGGCGAACGGGUGAGUAACACGUGAGUAACCUGCCCCCUUCUUCUGGAUAACCGCAUGAAAGAGUGGCUAAUACGGGAUAUUCUGGGUCUGUCGCAUGAUGGGUCUGGGAAAGAUAUUGUUUCGGUGGGGGAUGGGCCCGCGGCUUAUCAGCUUGUUGGUGGGGUGAUGGCCUACCAAGGCGGUGACGGGUAGCCGGCCUGAGAGGGUCGACGGUCACACUAGUGCUGAGACGCGGCCACGCCUCCUACGGGAGGCAGCAGUGGAGAUUAUUGCACAAUGGGCGCAAGCAUGGUGCAACGACGCCUCAUGAGGGAUGGUGGCCUGCGGGUUGUGAACCUCUUUCGCCAGUGAAGCAGGCCUGCCUCGUUUGUGGGUGGGUUGACGGUAGCUGGAUAAGAAGCGCCGGCUAACUACGUG
Molecule: ribosomal RNA, 494 nt
Filed under: uncultured bacterium
Lineage: Bacteria
Description: partial 16S ribosomal RNA
Rfam family: Bacterial small subunit ribosomal RNA
Source: RNAcentral